UACGUAGGGUGCAAGCGUUGUCCGGAAUUAUUGGGCGUAAAGAGCUCGUAGGCGGUUUGUUGCGUCGGCUGUGAAAUCCCGAGGCUCAACCUCGGGUCUGCAGUCGAUACGAGCAAACUAGAGUGUUGCAGGGGAGACUGGAAUUCCUGGUGUAGCGGUGAAAUGCGUAGAUAUCGGAAGGAACAUCGGUGGCGAAAGCGGCGCGCUGGACCUCUUCUGACGCUGAGGCGCGAAAGCCAGGGGAGCAAACGGG
This 253-nucleotide ribosomal RNA is filed under the name uncultured bacterium. RNAcentral's name for it is "partial 16S ribosomal RNA". It matches the Rfam family "Bacterial small subunit ribosomal RNA", at positions 524 to 776 of the family's 1533-position model. The record is from RNAcentral.